This 1420-nucleotide ribosomal RNA is filed under the name bacterium NLAE-zl-P279. RNAcentral's name for it is "bacterial SSU rRNA". It matches the Rfam family "Bacterial small subunit ribosomal RNA". The record is from RNAcentral.
GGCUUACCAUGCAAGUCGAGGGGCAGCAUUUCAGUUUGCUUGCAAACUGGAGAUGGCGACCGGCGCACGGGUGAGUAACACGCUAUCCAACCUGCCGAUAACUCGGGGAUAGCCUUUCGAAAGAAAGAUUAAUACCCGAUGGUAUAAUCAGACCGCAUGGUCUUAUUAUUAAAGAAUUUCGGUUAUCGAUGGGGAUGCGUUCCAUUAGGCAGUUGGUGAGGUAACGGCUCACCAAACCUUCGAUGGAUAGGGGUUCUGAGAGGAAGGUCCCCCACAUUGGAACUGAGACACGGUCCAAACUCAUACGGGAGGCAGCAGUGAGGAAUAUUGGUCAAUGGGCGCAGGCCUGAACCAGCCAAGUAGCGUGAAGGAUGACUGCCCUAUGGGUUGUAAACUUCUUUUAUAUGGGAAUAAAGUUUUCCACGUGUGGAAUUUUGUAUGUACCAUAUGAAUAAGGAUCGGCUAACUCCGUGCCAGCAGCCGCGGUAAUACGGAGGAUCCGAGCGUUAUCCGGAUUUAUUGGGUUUAAAGGGAGCGUAGGUGGACAGUUAAGUCAGUUGUGAAAGUUUGCGGCUCAAACCGUAAAAUUGCAGUUGAUACUGGCUGUCUUGAGUACAGUAGAGGUGGGCGGAAUUCGUGGUGUAGCGGUGAAAUGCUUAGAUAUCACGAAGAACUCCGAUUGCGAAGGCAGCUCACUGGACUGCAACUGACACUGAUGCUCGAAAGUGUGGGUAUCAAACAGGAUUAGAUACCCUGGUAGUCCACACAGUAAACGAUGAAUACUCGCUGUUUGCGAUAUACAGUAAGCGGCCAAGCGAAAGCAUUAAGUAUUCCACCUGGGGAGUACGCCGGCAACGGUGAAACUCAAAGGAAUUGACGGGGGCCCGCACAAGCGGAGGAACAUGUGGUUUAAUUCGAUGAUACGCGAGGAACCUUACCCGGGCUUAAAUUGCAUUUGAAUANUNUGGAAACAGNUUAGCCGCAAGGCAAAUGUGAAGGUGCUGCAUGGUUGUCGUCAGCUCGUGCCGUGAGGUGUCGGCUUAAGUGCCAUAACGAGCGCAACCCUUAUCUUUAGUUACUAACAGGUCAUGCUGAGGACUCUAGAGAGACUGCCGUCGUAAGAUGUGAGGAAGGUGGGGAUGACGUCAAAUCAGCACGGCCCUUACGUCCGGGGCUACACACGUGUUACAAUGGGGGGUACAGAAGGCAGCUACCUGGUGACAGGAUGCUAAUCCCAAAAGCCUCUCUCAGUUCGGAUCGAAGUCUGCAACCCGACUUCGUGAAGCUGGAUUCGCUAGUAAUCGCGCAUCAGCCAUGGCGCGGUGAAUACGUUCCCGGGCCUUGUACAACACCGCCCGUCAAGCCAUGAAAGCCCGGGGGUACUCUGAAUGUAUCGUAACCGCAAGGAGCUCCUAGGAAA